ACAUGUACCGUCGCUCUGGGAU
This 22-nucleotide microRNA is filed under the name Ciona intestinalis (vase tunicate). RNAcentral's name for it is "Cin-Mir-4031_3p (mature (guide))". The record is from RNAcentral. Lineage: Eukaryota; Metazoa; Chordata; Ascidiacea; Phlebobranchia; Cionidae.